AUUGAACGCUGGCGGCAGGCCUAACACAUGCAAGUCGAGCGAGCGGCGGACGGGUGAGUAAUGUAUGGGGAUCUGCGCGAUAGAGGGGGAUAACUCCUGGAAACGGUGGCUAAUACCGCAUACUAUCGGAUGCACCCAUAUGGGAUUAGCUAGUAGGUGGGGUAAAGGCUCACCUAGGCGACGAUCUCUAGCUGGUCUGAGAGGAUGAGCAGCCAGACUGGGACUGAGACACGGCCCAGACUCCUACGGGAGGCAGCAGUGGGGAAUAUUGCACAAGGGGCGCAAGCCUGAUGCAGCCAUGCCGAGUGUAUGAAGAAGGCCUUAGGGUUGUAAAGUACUUUCAGCGGGGAGGCGUUACCCGAAGAAGAAGCACCGGCUAACUCCGUGCCAGCAGCCGCGGUAAUAC
Molecule: ribosomal RNA, 406 nt
Filed under: uncultured bacterium
Lineage: Bacteria
Description: partial 16S ribosomal RNA
Rfam family: Bacterial small subunit ribosomal RNA
Source: RNAcentral